GACGAACGCUGGCGGCGUGCCUAAUACAUGCAAGUAGAACGCUGAAGGAGGAGCCUGCUUCUCCGGAUGAGUUGCGAACGGGUGAGUAACGCGUAGGUAACCUGCCUGGUAGCGGGGGAUAACUAUUGGAAACGAUAGCUAAUACCGCAUAAGAGUAGAUGUCGCAUGACAUUUGCUUAAAAGGUGCAACUGCACCACUACCAGAUGGACCUGCGUUGUAUUAGCUAGUUGGUGAGGUAACGGCUCACCAAGGCAACGAUACAUAGCCGACCUGAGAGGGUGAUCGGCCACACUGGGACUGAGACACGGCCCAGACUCCUACGGGAGGCAGCAGUAGGGAAUCUUCGGCAAUGGACGGAAGUCUGACCGAGCAACGCCGCGUGAGUGAAGAAGGUUUUCGGAUCGUAAAGCUCUGUUGUAAGAGAAGAACGAGUGUGAGAGUGGAAAGUUCACACUGUGACGGUAUCUUACCAGAAAGGGACGGCUAACUACGUG
RNAcentral lists this ribosomal RNA (495 nucleotides) under uncultured bacterium. RNAcentral describes it as "partial 16S ribosomal RNA". It matches the Rfam family "Bacterial small subunit ribosomal RNA", at positions 28 to 507 of the family's 1533-position model. The record is from RNAcentral.